RNAcentral lists this ribosomal RNA (253 nucleotides) under uncultured bacterium. RNAcentral describes it as "partial 16S ribosomal RNA". It matches the Rfam family "Bacterial small subunit ribosomal RNA", at positions 524 to 776 of the family's 1533-position model. The record is from RNAcentral.
UACAGGGGGUGCAAACGUUGCUCGGAAUCAUUGGGCGUAAAGCGCACGUAGGCGGUCUGUUAUGUCGGAUGUGAAAGCCCUUGGCUCAACUGAGGAAGUGCAUCCGAAACUGGCAGGCUAGAGUACUGUAGAGGCAGACGGAAUUCCGGGUGUAGCGGUGGAAUGCGUAGAGAUCCGGAGGAAGACCGGUGGCGAAGGCGGUCUGCUGGGCAGUUUCUGACACUGAGGCGCGACAGCGUGGGGAGCAAACAGG